UACUGUGUCCUUCCAUCAUAGUGUGUUUCUAUACGUCACCAUGAUACAGGACACAGCCCC
This 60-nucleotide microRNA precursor is filed under the name Branchiostoma lanceolatum (amphioxus). RNAcentral describes it as "Bla-Mir-12492_pre stem-loop". The record is from RNAcentral. Lineage: Eukaryota; Metazoa; Chordata; Leptocardii; Amphioxiformes; Branchiostomatidae.